This 439-nucleotide ribosomal RNA is filed under the name Streptomyces paresii. RNAcentral describes it as "partial 16S ribosomal RNA". It matches the Rfam family "Bacterial small subunit ribosomal RNA", at positions 958 to 1385 of the family's 1533-position model. The record is from RNAcentral. Lineage: Bacteria; Bacillati; Actinomycetota; Actinomycetes; Kitasatosporales; Streptomycetaceae.
AACGCGAAGAACCUUACCCAAGGCUUGACAUAUACCGGAAAGCAUCAGAGAUGGUGCCCCCCUUGUGGUCGGUAUACCAGGUGGUGCAUGGCUGUCGUCAGCUCGUGUCGUGAGAUGUUGGGUUAAGUCCCGCAACCGAGCGCAACCCUUGUUCUGUGUUGCCAGCAUGCCCUUCGGGGUGAUGGGGACUCAUCAGGAGACUGCCGGGGUCAACUCGGAGGAAGGUGGGGACGACGUCAAGUCAUCAUGCCCCUUAUGUCUUGGGCUGCACACGUGCUACAAUGGCCGGUACAAUGAGCUGCGAUGCCGCGAGGCGGAGCGAAUCUCAAAAAGCCGGUCUCANNUNACAUUUAGGGAUGUNGAANCUCCGUNACCGGGGCGCACCCCCUGNUACGAGGUUNUNGGNAAUNGUAUNANCCCCNCUUUCCUCACUCCCCGG